This 253-nucleotide ribosomal RNA is filed under the name uncultured bacterium. RNAcentral describes it as "partial 16S ribosomal RNA". It matches the Rfam family "Bacterial small subunit ribosomal RNA", at positions 524 to 776 of the family's 1533-position model. The record is from RNAcentral.
UACGGAGGGUGCAAGCGUUGUCCGGAUUUAUUGGGUUUAAAGGGUGCGUAGGCGGCCCGUUAAGUCCGGGGUGAAAGCCCACUGCUCAACAGUGGAACUGCCCUGGAAACUGGAGAACUUGAGUACAGACGAGGGCGGCGGAAUGGAUGGUGUAGCGGUGAAAUGCAUAGAUACCAUCCAGAACCCCGAUUGCGAAGGCAGCUGCCUAGACUGUAACUGACGCUGAGGCACGAAAGCGUGGGGAGCGAACAGG